Non-coding RNA from Grammomys surdaster, 1080 nucleotides. The record is from the annotation of a RefSeq genome assembly. Lineage: Eukaryota; Metazoa; Chordata; Mammalia; Rodentia; Muridae.
AUGGUGACUCUGGGAUGCCUGGUCAAGGGCUAUUUCCCUGAGCCAGUGUCCGUGACUUGGAACUCUGGAGCCCUGUCCAGCGGUGUGCACACCUUCCCAGCUGUCCUGCAGUCUGGACUCUACACUCUCAGCAGCUCAGUGACUGUAUCCUCCAGCACCUGGCCCAGCCAGACCGUCACCUGCAAUGUAGACCACCCGGCCAGCAGCACCAAGGUGGACAAGACCAUUGUCCCAGAACUAUCAUCUGUCUUCAUCUUCCCCCCAAUGCCCAAGGAUGUGCUCACCAUCACUCUGACUCCUAAGGUCACGUGUGUUGUGGUAGACAUUAGCCAGGAUGAUCCCGACGUUCAGUUCAACUGGUAUGUAGAUGACGUGGAAGUACACACAGCUCAGACUCACCGCCCAGAGCAGCAGUUCAACAGCACUCUCCGCACAGUCAGUGAACUACCCAUCCUGCACCAGGACUGGCUCAAUGGCAGAGAGUUCAAAUGCAAGGUCAACAGUGAAGCAUUACCUGCCCCCAUCGAGAGAACUAUCUCUAAAACCAAAGGCAGACCACGGGCUCCACAGGUAUACACCAUGUCGCCUCCCAAGGAACAGCUGACCAAGAAUGAAAUCACUCUGACCUGCUUGGCCCUGGGUUUCUUUCCUUCUGACAUUUAUGUGGAGUGGCAGAGGAAUGGGCAGCCAGCGGAGAACUACAAGAACACUGAGCCCACCGUGGACGCAGACGGGAGUUACUUCCUCUACAGCAAGCUCACUGUGAGCAGGAACAUGUGGGAGAAGGGAGAAACCUUCACCUGCUCUGUGUUACAUGAGGCCCUGCACAACCACCACACUGAGAAGAGCCUCACCCAAUCUCCUGGGCUGGAACUGGCCGAAACCUGUGCUGAGGCCCAGGACGGGGAGCUGGAUGGGCUCUGGACAACCAUCACCAUCUUCAUCAGCCUCUUCCUGCUCAGCGUGUGCUACAGUGCUGCUGUCACACUCUUCAAGGUAAAGUGGAUCUUCUCCUCAGUGGUGGGGCUGAAGCAGACACUGGUUCCCGAAUACAAGAAUAUGAUUGGACAAGGGCCCUAG